UGAGACCUCUGGGUUCUGAGCUGUGAUGUUCCUUCCAAGCUGGGAUCUCUGGGGUCUUGGU
RNAcentral lists this microRNA precursor (61 nucleotides) under Canis lupus familiaris (dog). RNAcentral's name for it is "Cfa-Mir-769_pre stem-loop". It matches the Rfam family "mir-769 microRNA precursor family", at positions 12 to 72 of the family's 81-position model. Lineage: Eukaryota; Metazoa; Chordata; Mammalia; Carnivora; Canidae. The record is from RNAcentral.